This 699-nucleotide small RNA is filed under the name Pongo abelii (Sumatran orangutan). RNAcentral describes it as "processed transcript". The record is from RNAcentral. Lineage: Eukaryota; Metazoa; Chordata; Mammalia; Primates; Hominidae.
GUGAUAUUGUCAUCCUUACAAAACCACUCGUGGUGUCUAAAGGUGAUAGAGGUUUCUUAACAACCACCACUCUCCUGGCUGUGGACGGAACAGACAAGCCUGAGGAACUGCUCUAUGUCAUCACCUCCCCUCCACGAUAUGGCCAGAUCGAAUAUGUUCACUAUCCUGGAGUUCCCAUUACAAGCUUCAGCCAAAUGGAUAUAGUGGGGCAGACAGUUUGCUAUGUACACAAGAGCAAGGUGACUGUCUCCAGUGACAGAUUCAGUAGAUGGUGACACAAGAAUCCAUGCUGAAGGCUGCCUUGCCUCUCUUUACCAGAUUCAUCAUCAGCAAUGGACUGCGGACCGAGCAUGGGGUGUUUGAGAUCACACUGGAGACUGCGGACAGAGCCCUGCCUGUGGUAACCAGGAACAAGGGGUUGAGACUGGCCCAAGGGGCUGUGGGCCUGCUUUCCCCUGACCUCCUUCAGCUGACCGACCCUGAUACACCUGCGGAGAACCUCACCUUCCUCUUGGUUCAGCUCCCCCAGCAUGGCCAGCUCUACCUGUGGGGGACAGGGCUACUUCAACACAAUUUUACCCAGCAGGAUGUGGACAGCAGGAAUGUGGCCUAUCGGCACUCAGGAGGGGACUCCCAGACUGACUGCUUUACUUUCAUGGCCACAGACAGCACAAACCAAGGCUUUAUUGUGAAUGGGAG